This 556-nucleotide long non-coding RNA is filed under the name Coturnix japonica (Japanese quail). RNAcentral describes it as "lncRNA (ENSCJPG00005000835.1)". Lineage: Eukaryota; Metazoa; Chordata; Aves; Galliformes; Phasianidae. The record is from RNAcentral.
CUUCUUAAUUUUACUUCCAGUGACUUGAUUCACCUAAAUUUAAAUUGAUUUUUUCUUUUUUCCUCAUAAUAAUUUCCAUUCAUAUUUCUUCAUCACAAUUCCUAAAGUAUGCAUUGAAUGGCAAGAAUAUACUUCUUGGAACAGAAUUAGAGUUUAUCCUUUAACAUAAAAUGCUUAUUGGUUAAAGGCAGUUACAUUUAAUAUUUUUGGGGGGCUAAGUUACAGCAGGUCCUUGAUGCUCAAAAGCUGUUAAUGUGUUUCAGAAAUGUAGUGGCACACAUUUGCAAAGUGCUUCCUUGUUUUUAUUUUUACUUGGUGUGAUUCAGUUUUUGAAAAGGCCCCGAGGGUCUGCUGACUCAUGUUUUGGGCUUUUUUCUCUAAGUGAGAAGUCUUCCGAUUGCCAUAGCAGUAAGUGCAAAUGAAAGAAAUGAAUGAAAAGCUUCUAAUUGGACAUCUAGAGGUGGCUUUCCUCUAUUAUGUGUUCUCCUGUCACAUGUCCUGUCAGCUUACGCUAGAAAGUGUCCCUUCUGGUAGACAACAAGCUCAAGCCCUGUGA